UUACGGCCAUAUCAUUUGAAAACGACGGUUUCCGUAAGAUCACUGAAGUUAAGUAACGUCGUACCUGGUCAGUACCUAGAUGGGUGACUUCUAGGGAAUACCAUGUGAUGUAAG
Molecule: non-coding RNA, 114 nt
Organism: Acanthosepion pharaonis
Lineage: Eukaryota; Metazoa; Mollusca; Cephalopoda; Sepiida; Sepiidae
Source: the annotation of a GenBank genome assembly